This is a long non-coding RNA of Halichondria panicea, 824 nucleotides long. RefSeq lists it as uncharacterized. The record is from RefSeq and is a predicted model, not a curated record. Lineage: Eukaryota; Metazoa; Porifera; Demospongiae; Suberitida; Halichondriidae. The transcript is spliced from 2 exons.
CGUGUAGUGGUGGGUGUUACCCAUGCACUGUGUGGUGAAAUUCAUGCAAUCACUGAAUGGGUACAGGUGUGGCCAAAAAUCAUUGUGGAACAUUUAGUUUAUGACUUUCAAGAUUUAGUACAUAAUUAUAGUGCAAGACUAUGGAAAGACACAUGAAGAUGCAAGACGUGAUAAUUGAGAGUGCUAGAGCAAUUGGGAUCCAUUAUUUAAAGCCAGAGCAAAUGAAAGCAAUGUAUUCAAUCAUUGGAGGAAAGGACACAUUUGUGUCACUGCCAACCGGCUAUGGAAAGUCAGUAAUCUUUGCUGCAUUACCUAUGGCCUUUGACCAAUUGAAAGGAACAUCUGGAAGCAUUGUACUUUGUAUUAGUCCCCUCACUUCGCUGAUGAUGGAUCAACAAAAAAAGUGUGCAGCUGGAGGAUUGACAGUGGAAUACGUUGGAGAAGCUCAGACAGACCGUAGUGCUAUUAACAGAGUACUGAAAGGAGAAGCUCAGUUGGUGUUCAUCUCCCCAGAGAGCAUAAUUAUUAGCGAAGGGUAUUUUUCGAAAUAAUUAUGCUUCUGUCACCACCGUAUAUAAAGAAUCUCGUUGCAGUAGUAGUUGAUGAAGCCCAUUGUGUUAAAACCUGGGGAGAUGAUUUUCGAGUUGCGAGAUUGGAGAUUUAAGGAGCCUCAUUCCAGACAAUGUCGGUGUUCACGCACUUACUGCUACCUCUACAACAGAAACAUUUUACAUUGUCAGUAGAAGGUUAUGUAUAGACGAUCCUACUUUAAUUGCCUCCCCUCCUUUCCGAGACAAUAUUUCUUAUGGUUCUUAUUUUAAUGG